GAUGAACGCUGGCGGCGUGCCUAAUACAUGCAAGUCGAGCGAACAGACGAGGAGCUUGCUCCUCUGACGUUAGCGGCGGACGGGUGAGUAACACGUGGAUAACCUACCUAUAAGACUGGGAUAACUUCGGGAAACCGGAGCUAAUACCGGAUAAUAUAUUGAACCGCAUGGUUCAAUAGUGAAAGACGGUUUUGCUGUCACUUAUAGAUGGAUCCGCGCCGCAUUAGCUAGUUGGUAAGGUAACGGCUUACCAAGGCGACGAUGCGUAGCCGACCUGAGAGGGGGAUCGGCCACACUGGAACUGAGACACGGUCCAGACUCCUGCGGGAGGCAGCAGUAGGGAAUCGUCCGCAAUGGGCGAAAGCCUGACGGAGCAACGCCGCGUGAGUGAUGAAGGUCUUCGGAUCGUAAAACUCUGUUAUUAGGGAAGAACAAAUGUGUAAGUAACUAUGCACGUCUUGACGGUACCUAAUCAGAAAGCCACGGCUAACUACGUG
RNAcentral lists this ribosomal RNA (497 nucleotides) under uncultured bacterium. RNAcentral's name for it is "partial 16S ribosomal RNA". It matches the Rfam family "Bacterial small subunit ribosomal RNA", at positions 28 to 507 of the family's 1533-position model. The record is from RNAcentral.